This 330-nucleotide ribosomal RNA is filed under the name uncultured eukaryote. Its description in RNAcentral is "partial 18S ribosomal RNA". It matches the Rfam family "Eukaryotic small subunit ribosomal RNA", at positions 1470 to 1796 of the family's 1831-position model. The record is from RNAcentral.
CCCUUAGAUGUUCUGGGCCGCACGCGUGCUACACUGACCGGUGCAACAAGUUUCUUUCCUUGGCUCGAUAGGCCUGGGUAAUCUUUGAACACCGGUCGUGAUGGGGAUAGAUCCUUGCAAUUUUUGAUCUUCAACGAGGAAUUCCUAGUAAAUGCGAGUCAUCAUCUCGUGCUGAUUACGUCCCUGCCCUUUGUACACACCGCCCGUCGCUGCCCGGAACUGAGCCAUUUCGAGAAAAAUGGGGACAGACUGCUUGUGGGUGCGCAAGCACUUCUUGCAGAUUGAAACCAUCUUGAUCGGUAUGGCUUGAACCGGGCAAAANUCGUANCA